AAUAUUAGUAUAUAAAAUAAAUUAUAUUAUGGUUUUUAAAUUAAUUGUAUUAAUAAUAUUAUAUAUAAAACAUAUAAUUAUUAAAAAUAAAAGAAAAAUUAUAUUUAAUAAAUAAUUCUGAAACAAUGAAUGAAAGUUCUAUUCGGAAAUUAAUUCUAGUAAAGAUAAAUAUGAGUGCCAGCAAUAGCGGUUAAACUCGAUUUAUAAAUUAAUUAAUUCUAAUAAAAUUAAUAUUAAAGGUAAAAUUAUAAUUAAAUAUAUUAGAUUUAAAGUGAAAUUUAGAAUUAAUCAUUAAUAAUUAUAAUUUACGAUGGUAGAAAUUAAAAAGUUUAGUAAAAAACUAGGAUUAGAUACCCUACUAUAAAAAGAUAAAUAAAAUUGUUAAGCUAUUAAAUGUUGAACCAUUAAAAUUAAAUAAUAUGGCGGCUUUUUAUAUCUAAUUAGAGAAACUUGUCGAUUAAUUUGAUAGUCCACGAUAAGAAAUACUUGAGUUAAAAUUUAUGUAUUGUUGUUUUAAUUAGCUUGAAUUAAUUUGGGUUAGAGAUAUUUUAGAUAAUAAUAAUUCAAAUCAAAAUGUAGUAUAUUCAAGGUUUAGAUGAGUUUCAAUAAAUUUAAUUUUUGGAAUAUUUAUUUUAAUAUAAAUAUGAAAGAGAAUUUAAAAGUAAAUUAAAGUAAUUUCUUUAAUUGAAGGUAGUUUUAAAAAGUGUACAAAUCGCCCGUCAAUUUCAUUUAAAAAUUGAAAUAAGUCGUAACAUAGUAAAAGUACUGGAAAGUGUUUUUAGAUUUU
Molecule: non-coding RNA, 787 nt
Filed under: Apis cerana japonica
Lineage: Eukaryota; Metazoa; Arthropoda; Insecta; Hymenoptera; Apidae
Source: RNAcentral